AAGGUUGUCUUCAUCCUACACAAUAACAUUGAAAAUGAGACACAUUUUACAUAAAAUAAUAGUAAAAUGCAUAUUUAUGAUGUCGUGGAUGAAGAUUCGCCUGUCAAUGUUUCUUGCAUUUUUGGCGUUAAAGAUUAUAAGGACCGGCGAGGUGCCUAGGCAUGUGGCGAUUAUCAUGGAUGGCAAUAGACGAUACGCCACAAAACAAAACAUACCAAGAAAGGAGGGACACAUAAAAGAGUUUAAUAAUUUGCUUAGGAUAAUAUUGUUAUGCAAGGAUCUUGGUAUUGUAGAGAUCACAGUUUAUAUUUUUAGCAUAAACAAUUUUAAACGUACAAAAGAGGAAGUCGACGACAUCAUGAACAUUAUCAAAUGUUUCUUUGAACACACAAACGAAUUAGCAGACGUCGGAGUGUGCAUUCGUGUGAUUGGCAAUUUGUCUUUUCUUCGGGAAGACAUUCUAAAAUCAAUUGCUCGUGCUAUAAUCACUUCUAAAGACAAUAAUAAAUUAAUUUUAAAUCUUGCUUGUUCUUAUACAUCAAGAGAUGAACUUACCUAUGCAAUUAAAGAAAUAACAAUGGGUAAAAUGCAUAAUGAUAUCUUACUAGAAGAUAUUACUAAAAAUUUGAUAUCUGACUGUUUGUACACUUACAAAUCUUCAAAUCCAGAUUUAUUAAUUCGUACUUCCGGAGAGGUUCGACUUAUUGUUAGUAACUUCCUCAUGUGGCAAGUUUCUACUGCUUACCUCUACUUUACUAAUACGUUAUAGCCUGAAUUUGAUUUAUGGGAUUUGCUCCGCGCAAUCUUUUAUUAUCAAACAUGUUAUUCUGACUUGCAAAAAAUUAAAAACAAUUUGAAAAUUAUCGUGCCUAACACUAGAGCAUCCAUGUUCGUCGAUAAGUUGCACCGUAAACGCGAAAUUAUGAUCGAAAAAAUAUAUAAAUCAUCAGUUCAAUCUAGAAAUAAAUGA
RNA transcript from Solenopsis invicta (red fire ant), 970 nucleotides. It is a transcript of the gene named dehydrodolichyl diphosphate synthase complex subunit DHDDS, with no coding region annotated. The transcript has 5 exons. Lineage: Eukaryota; Metazoa; Arthropoda; Insecta; Hymenoptera; Formicidae. The record is from RefSeq and is a predicted model, not a curated record.